GAUGGGGUUUUAGAUGUGUUUUACUGCAAGCUGUUUCAGUUCUGUAAACAGCACCAUGGAUGCUAGUAAUAUUUAUCUUUCAAGAACUUCAAGCUUUCAGCAGGUACAGUUUACAUGUGUGGUACUCAAUUAACCUUGAUCAUAAAAACAUGAACAAAUCCUGUCAACUUUAAUACAGCAGUUAAAAAGCUUUCUUCAGCUUUCCCAAGAGAGUGCCUUGCAGUUUGAGGCCAACCAGAACUUCUCUUUACUAAAAAUGGUCCUUUGUACGUGACAUUAAUAAGUGUAGGGCUUCCACAAGAAUGCAAAAGUUGAGUAGGAAAAAGGAGAAAAGUACUGUACAUUUUUACCAGGGACUUCACUGGCACUGAGCUUCUCAGCCAGUAGUAUCUGGUAGGGUGCUUGCAUCUAGGGUAACAAGGAGCCCGUGACAAAUUCUAGUCACAGAAGGUGGUUGUUAGCUUCAACAUACAUAAUACACAAGAACACAUGCACAGCAACCUUCAGACUAUGACUGGGGAAUGCUUCUCAUGCUGGAGGCAAGAGCUCUCUGUGAAUCUCCAUCAUUCCAGGCAUUAGGAGCCCUACAACAGGUCUUGUACGCUAAUGGGCUACCAUUGUGUACACUAACCACAUGCAACACCACAAGUGGACAACAAAUCACUGCAGUUACUUACUGAAAUGCUAUUGCAGAUAUCUAAGUGACUACUCAGUCAGUUCAAGCCCCUCCACUUACCAGCUUGUGCGGCAAGACACAGCAUCAUGCGCUGUCCCAGGGAAGACCAAUAAACAAAGUCAGCCGGAGACAGUAGCUCCAAAAUGAUAUUAAAAGGAAAUGGAGCUUCAGAAGCACAAGAGAAGACCAAAGGAACAUUUUUCUCUGGAUUCCAAGAUGCAAGGAGGAAGUUGUCAUCAAUCAAGCUAACAGAUAUUGCACAGGAAAGUAAACAGACACAGGUCUGUAACUUCCCUCCUCCUCUUUAGAGCUACACAAUGUGUUGAUUAUCAAAAUUAACAAGUCUAAGAAGGUUAUUGUUAGACAGGAAAGUUAGCCACUGGGACAAUGCUCAUGGACUUCUAACAUCUCAGUGAGCUUCAAGGAUUGCUGCAAAGAAUGCUUCUAUGAAAUAGGAGCUCAGCUAAGCCAGAAGAUAAGCUUGGAUAUGCUGGUCAAUCCAAGGAGGAUCAAUCUGCAUGUAGAUGUAGCUACAGAA
This 1214-nucleotide long non-coding RNA is filed under the name Cyanistes caeruleus (blue tit). RNAcentral describes it as "lncRNA (ENSCCEG00000004296.1)". The record is from RNAcentral. Lineage: Eukaryota; Metazoa; Chordata; Aves; Passeriformes; Paridae.